GACGAACGCUGGCGGCGUGCUUAACACAUGCAAGUCGAACGGAAAGGCCCUGCUUUUGUGGGGUGCUCGAGUGGCGAACGGGUGAGUAACACGUGAGUAACCUGCCCUUGACUUUGGGAUAACUUCAGGAAACUGGGGCUAAUACCGGAUAGGAGCUCCUGCUGCAUGGUGGGGGUUGGAAAGUUUCGGCGGUUGGGGAUGGACUCGCGGCUUAUCAGCUUGUUGGUGGGGUAGUGGCUUACCAAGGCUUUGACGGGUAGCCGGCCUGAGAGGGUGACCGGCCACAUUGGGACUGAGAUACGGCCCAGACUCCUACGGGAGGCAGCAGUGGGGAAUAUUGCACUAUGGGCGGAAGCCUGAUGCAGCAACGCCGCGUGCGGGAUGACGGCCUUCGGGUUGUAAACCGCUUUCGCCUGUGACGAAGCGUGAGUGACGGUAAUGGGUAAAGAAGCACCGGCUAACUACGUGCCAGCAGCCGCGGUGAUACGUAGGGUGCGAGCGUUGUCCGGAUUUAUUGGGCGUAAAGGGCUCGUAGGUGGUUGAUCGCGUCGGAAGUGUAAUCUUGGGGCUUAACCCUGAGCGUGCUUUCGAUACGGGUUGACUUGAGGAAGGUAGGGGAGAAUGGAAUUCCUGGUGGAGCGGUGGAAUGCGCAGAUAUCAGGAGGAACACCAGUGGCGAAGGCGGUUCUCUGGGCCUUUCCUGACGCUGAGGAGCGAAAGCGUGGGGAGCGAACAGGCUUAGAUACCCUGGUAGUCCACGCUGUAAACGGUGGGUACUAGGUGUGGGGUCCAUUCCACGGGUUCCGUGCCGUAGCUAACGCUUUAAGUACCCCGCCUGGGGAGUACGGCCGCAAGGCUAAAACUCAAAGGAAUUGACGGGGCCCCGCACAAGCGGCGGAGCAUGCGGAUUAAUUCGAUGCAACGCGUAGAACCUUACCUGGGUUUGACAUGGAUCGGGAGUGCUCAGAGAUGGGUGUGCCUCUUUUGGGGUCGGUUCACAGGUGGUGCAUGGCUGUCGUCAGCUCGUGUCGUGAGAUGUUGGGUUAAGUCCCGCAACGAGCGCAACCCUUGUUCACUGUUGCCAGCACGUUAUGGUGGGGACUCAGUGGAGACCGCCGGGGUCAACUCGGAGGAAGGUGGGGAUGACGUCAAGUCAUCAUGCCCCUUAUGUCCAGGGCUUCACGCAUGCUACAAUGGCUGGUACAGAGAGUGGCGAGCCUGUGAGGGUGAGCGAAUCUCGGAAAGCCGGUCUCAGUUCGGAUUGGGGUCUGCAACUCGACCUCAUGAAGUCGGAGUCGCUAGUAAUCGCAGAUCAGCAACGCUGCGGUGAAUACGUUCCCGGG
RNAcentral lists this ribosomal RNA (1343 nucleotides) under uncultured bacterium. RNAcentral's name for it is "16S ribosomal RNA". It matches the Rfam family "Bacterial small subunit ribosomal RNA", at positions 28 to 1378 of the family's 1533-position model. The record is from RNAcentral.